This 253-nucleotide ribosomal RNA is filed under the name uncultured bacterium. RNAcentral describes it as "partial 16S ribosomal RNA". It matches the Rfam family "Bacterial small subunit ribosomal RNA", at positions 524 to 776 of the family's 1533-position model. The record is from RNAcentral.
UACGUAGGGUGCAAGCGUUGUCCGGAAUUAUUGGGCGUAAAGGGCUCGUAGGCGGUCUGUCACGUCGGGAGUGAAAACUCCGGGCUUAACCCUGAGCCUGCUUCCGAUACGGGCAGACUAGAGGUAUGCAGGGGAGAACGGAAUUCCUGGUGUAGCGGUGAAAUGCGCAGAUAUCAGGAGGAACACCGGUGGCGAAGGCGGUUCUCUGGGCAUUACCUGACGCUGAGGAGCGAAAGCGUGGGGAGCGAACAGG